Molecule: long non-coding RNA, 422 nt
Organism: Aphis gossypii (cotton aphid)
Lineage: Eukaryota; Metazoa; Arthropoda; Insecta; Hemiptera; Aphididae
Exons: 3
Source: RefSeq, a predicted model, not a curated record
AAAAAUAUUAUUACCACAGAAUAAAACAAUUAAAAUUAUUACGUUAUUAUAAUAAUAAUAUAAUAAUUUACAUGUGAUAUUUUACACAUCCCUAGGCAAAACUGCAAAAGAAGAAAUAACAAGACUAAUAAGAAUAAUCCAAGUGUAGCAUCGAAAAUGUGACAACAAGGUAAUGUCAUGGCUACAUAGAAUUUACACUGACACCCAUUAAUAGUUGUGAAAGAUAGCGUUUUUGACUUGGCUUCAAAUUGCUUUUCGACAAGCAUAAAAGAGUAAGGUCAUUUCUAUCACGUUCUAACCUCAAGCACUUCAGUAAAAUAAACAAUUUAUCCACGAAGUCAUCAAUAUUUGUAAAAACAGGUAUCACGCUCUUUAAUUUUCCAUUAAAGGACUCUAAUCGGUUGUUAGUAUUGUUUAGCAUA